This 526-nucleotide ribosomal RNA is filed under the name uncultured bacterium. Its description in RNAcentral is "bacterial SSU rRNA". It matches the Rfam family "Bacterial small subunit ribosomal RNA", at positions 28 to 601 of the family's 1533-position model. The record is from RNAcentral.
AGCGAACGCUGGCGGCAGGCCUAACACAUGCAAGUCGAACGGACCCUUCGGGGUUAGUGGCGGACGGGUGAGUAACACGUGGGAACGUGCCUUUAGGUUCGGAAUAGCUCCGGAAACGGGUGGUAAUGCCGAAUGUGCCCUUCGGGGGAAAGAUUUAUCGCCUUUAGAGCGGCCCGCGUUUGAUUAGCUUGUUGGUGGGGUAAUGGCCCACCAAGGCUACGAUCAGUAGCUGGUCUGAGAGGAUGACCAGCCACAUUGGGACUGAGACACGGCCCAAACUCCUACGGGAGGCAGCAGUGGGGAAUCUUGCGCAAUGGGCGAAAGCCUGACGCAGCCAUGCCGCGUGUAUGAUGAAGGUCUUAGGAUUGUAAAAUACUUUCACCGGUGAAGAUAAUGACUGUAGCCGGAGAAGAAGCCCCGGCUAACUUCGUGCCAGCAGCCGCGGUAAUACGAAGGGGGCUGGCGUUGCUCGGAAUUACUGGGCGUAAAGGGAGCGUAGGCGGACAUUUAAGUCAGGGGUGAAACG